GACGAACGCUGGCGGCGUGCUUAACACAUGCAAGUCGAACGGAAAGGCCCUGCUUUUGUGGGGUUCUCGAUUGGCGAACGGGUGAGUAACACGUGAGUAACCUGCCCUUGACUUUGGGAUAACUUCAGGAAACUGGGGCUAAUACCGGAUAGGAGCUCCUGCUGCAUGGUGGGGGUUGGAAAGUUUCGGCGGUUGGGGAUGGACUCGCGGCUUAUCAGCUUGUUGGUGGGGUAGUGGCUUACCAAGGCUUUGACGGGUAGCCGGCCUGGGAGGGUGACCGGCGACAUUGGGACUGGGAUAGGGCGCAGACUGCUACGGGCGGCAGCAGUGGGGAAUAUUGCACAAUGGGCGGGAGCCUGAUGCAGCGGCGCCGCGUGCGGGAUGACGGCCUUCGGGUUGUGAACCGCUUUGGACUGUGACGAAGAGUGAGUGACGGUAAUGGGUAAAGAAGCACCGGCUAACUACGUG
Molecule: ribosomal RNA, 468 nt
Filed under: uncultured bacterium
Lineage: Bacteria
Description: partial 16S ribosomal RNA
Rfam family: Bacterial small subunit ribosomal RNA
Source: RNAcentral